This is a non-coding RNA of Caenorhabditis elegans, 148 nucleotides long. The record is from Ensembl. NCBI's taxonomy places the organism in Eukaryota, Metazoa, Nematoda, Chromadorea, Rhabditida, Rhabditidae.
AUGCGAAGAUAAAAUACAACUAGAUGCAGACUAAUUGGUUAGGCUUACAAUUAGGCUUUGGUUCAGGUUUAGGCUUAGGCAUAGACUUAUGCUUAGGCUUAAGUUAAAUUGCUGCUUUCAAAAAAUAUUUCUUGUAUAUUGCCGUUUU